GAUGAACGCUGGCGGCGUGGAUAAGGCAUGCAAGUCAAGGGGCCCGCAAGGGAACCGGCAGACGAGGUAGUAAUAAAUAGGUAACAAACCCCAAAGUCAGGAAUAGCCAUCCGAAAGGGUGGGUAAUACUUGAUGGUCUGGUCUUGUCUCUUUUCAUUCAAAAUAAAUUUGAAUGCGAAGAGAUGAGACCAGUAAAGAUUUAUCGCUUUGGGCUUGGCCUGUUUGGUAUCAGCUAGUUGGUAGGGUAAAAGCCUACCAAGGCUAUGACGCCUAGGGGAGCUGAGAGGCUGACCCCCACCGAUGGGACUGAGAUACGGCCCAUACACCUACGGGUGGCUGCAGUCGAGAAUCUUCCGCAAUGGGCGAAAGCCUGACGGAGCGACGCCGCGUGAUCGAUGAAGUCCUUCGGGAUGUAAAGGUCUUUUAUGAGGGAGAAAGUUUAUUGAUAGUACCUCAUGAAUAAGGAGUUGCUAAACUCGUGCCAGCAGCAGCGGUAAUACGAGUGCUCCAAGCGUUAUCCGGAAUCAUUGGGCGUAAAGGGUGUGUAGGCGGUCAUACUAGUCUUUUGUUAAAACCUCCGGCUUAACCGGAGAUCUGCGAAAGAAACGGUAUGACUUGAGAGUACGAGGGGUCUCUGGAACUCAUGGUGUAGCGGUGAAAUGCGUUGAUAUCAUGGGGAACACCAAAAGCGAAGGCAAGAGACUGGCGUAUUUCUGACGCUGAGACACGAAAGCGUGGGUAGCGAAUGGGAUUAGAUACCCCAGUAGUCCACGCCCUAAACGAUGAUCACUAGCUUUUUGGAGUAUCGACCCUCUAAGAGGCGAAGCUAACGCGUUAAGUGAUCCGCCUGGGUAGUACGGCCGCAAGGCUAAAACUCAAAGGAAUAGACGGGGACUUGCACAAGCGGUGGAUCAUGUGGUUUAAUUCGAUGGUAAACGAAAAACCUCACCAGGGUUUGAAACCUAGCUGAAGACAUUUGGAAACAUUUGUCGUCUCACAAGGACAGUUAGGCAGGUGCUGCAUGGCCGUCGUCAGUUCGUGAUUUGAAUUGUUCCCUUAAGUGGGGUAACGAACGCAACCCUCGUUGUCUGUUAUAUAUGUCAGACGAGACUGCCCAGCUUUUUGUUCGCAAAAUUUUUGUGAAUAAAAAGCUGGGAGGAAGGCGAGGAUGACGCCAGGUCAGCAUGGCCCUUUGAUACCCUGGGCCACACACGUGAUACAAUGGUUGCUACAACGGGACGCAAUACCGAAAGGUGGAGCAAAUCCUUUAAAAACAACCCCAGUUCGGAUAGGAGUCUGCAACUCGACUCCUUGAAGUUGGAAUCGCUAGUAAUCACAGGUCAGCAUACUGUGGUGAAUACGUUCUCAAGUCUUGUACUCACCGCCCGUCAACUCAAGGGAAUUGGGAGUACCUGAAAUCUCGCCUCGUGCGGGCCUAAGGUAAACUCAAUGACAGGGAGU
Molecule: ribosomal RNA, 1461 nt
Filed under: uncultured bacterium
Lineage: Bacteria
Description: bacterial SSU rRNA
Rfam family: Bacterial small subunit ribosomal RNA
Source: RNAcentral